CAGAGUGCUAGUAUUACAGGCAUGAGCCACCAUGCCCGGCCUUCAUUUCUAUAUUCAACAGACAAGGAAACUAAGUCCAGAGAAGUGAAAUGACAAAACCAAAUCCCAUAACUACCUACCAAUCCAGUCACAGGUAUUAUAGUUUCUUGAUUCUUCUGGUGAAAACCCAAUAUAUUACAGAGGAUUUUAUUCAUCAGCAGGUCUACCUGUGUUAGUAAAUAAUCCUGUCAAUUAGCUAUUGUAGAAGUUACAUAUGAUAGAAAACAGGAAAAAAUUUAAAGGUGAUCUUUAUUUGGGGUAGGAGUCUCCCAGAAUUAUUUCAGUAACACUUAGCAUAAUUUCAGAGGACUGAAUUCCCUCAGGGUUUGCUCUCUCUUCAAGAACAUUUGCGUUUGUUUUUCUCAACUAAUUACUGGUGCUUAACAGCUAUUUAAAGAAUAUUGGUUUGAAGGGGUGCCAGAUUACUACUUUUCCCAGGACUCCCACGUGACUUGAGCCAGUCCAUUCUCAGCCUCUCUUUUACCCCAUCCUCUAUCCAGUGUUGCUUAAUUGGUGCUACCUACUGCACAGUGUGGUACAGUCUCAUCAUCUGUGGCUCCUGAAAAGAUGGGGUACUGCAAGGAGUUAUGGGGUGGAGAGGAAUACAAGAGUAAUAAAUGAAAAGAUGAGAAAAAAA
Microcebus murinus (gray mouse lemur) is the source of this 676-nucleotide non-coding RNA. Lineage: Eukaryota; Metazoa; Chordata; Mammalia; Primates; Cheirogaleidae. The record is from RefSeq and is a predicted model, not a curated record.